RNAcentral lists this ribosomal RNA (1784 nucleotides) under Salmonella enterica. RNAcentral describes it as "partial 23S ribosomal RNA". It matches the Rfam family "Bacterial large subunit ribosomal RNA", at positions 1179 to 2925 of the family's 2925-position model. The record is from RNAcentral. Lineage: Bacteria; Pseudomonadati; Pseudomonadota; Gammaproteobacteria; Enterobacterales; Enterobacteriaceae.
GGCUAAACCAUGCACCGAAGCUGCGGCAGCGACACUUUAGUGUUGUUGGGUAGGGGAGCGUUCUGUAAGCCGUUGAAGGUGUGUCGUGAGGCAUGCUGGAGGUAUCAGAAGUGCGAAUGCUGACAUAAGUAACGAUAAAGCGGGUGAAAAGCCCGCUCGCCGGAAGACCAAGGGUUCCUGUCCAACGUUAAUCGGGGCAGGGUGAGUCGACCCCUAAGGCGAGGCCGAAAGGCGUAGUCGAUGGGAAACGGGUUAAUAUUCCCGUACUUGGUGUUACUGCGAAGGGGGGACGGAGAAGGCUAUGUUGGCCGGGCGACGGUAGUCCCGGUUUAAGCGUGUAGGCUGGUUUUCCAGGCAAAUCCGGAAAAUCAAGGCUGAGGCGUGAUGACGAGGCACCACGGUGCUGAAGCAACAAAUGCCCUGCUUCCAGGAAAAGCCUCUAAGCAUCAGGUAACAUCAAAUCGUACCCCAAACCGACACAGGUGGUCAGGUAGAGAAUACCAAGGCGCUUGAGAGAACUCGGGUGAAGGAACUAGGCAAAAUGGUGCCGUAACUUCGGGAGAAGGCACGCUGACACGUAGGUGAAGUGAUUUACUCAUGGAGCUGAAGUCAGUCGAAGAUACCAGCUGGCUGCAACUGUUUAUUAAAAACACAGCACUGUGCAAACACGAAAGUGGACGUAUACGGUGUGACGCCUGCCCGGUGCCGGAAGGUUAAUUGAUGGGGUCAGCGCAAGCGAAGCUCCUGAUCGAAGCCCCGGUAAACGGCGGCCGUAACUAUAACGGUCCUAAGGUAGCGAAAUUCCUUGUCGGGUAAGUUCCGACCUGCACGAAUGGCGUAAUGAUGGCCAGGCUGUCUCCACCCGAGACUCAGUGAAAUUGAACUCGCUGUGAAGAUGCAGUGUACCCGCGGCAAGACGGAAAGACCCCGUGAACCUUUACUAUAGCUUGACACUGAACAUUGAGCCUUGAUGUGUAGGAUAGGUGGGAGGCUUUGAAGCGUGGACGCCAGUCUGCGUGGAGCCGACCUUGAAAUACCACCCUUUAAUGUUUGAUGUUCUAACGUGGACCCGUAAUCCGGGUUGCGGACAGUGUCUGGUGGGUAGUUUGACUGGGGCGGUCUCCUCCUAAAGAGUAACGGAGGAGCACGAAGGUUGGCUAAUCCUGGUCGGACAUCAGGAGGUUAGUGCAAUGGCAUAAGCCAGCUUGACUGCGAGCGUGACGGCGCGAGCAGGUGCGAAAGCAGGUCAUAGUGAUCCGGUGGUUCUGAAUGGAAGGGCCAUCGCUCAACGGAUAAAAGGUACUCCGGGGAUAACAGGCUGAUACCGCCCAAGAGUUCAUAUCGACGGCGGUGUUUGGCACCUCGAUGUCGGCUCAUCACAUCCUGGGGCUGAAGUAGGUCCCAAGGGUAUGGCUGUUCGCCAUUUAAAGUGGUACGCGAGCUGGGUUUAGAACGUCGUGAGACAGUUCGGUCCCUAUCUGCCGUGGGCGCUGGAAGACUGAGGGGGGCUGCUCCUAGUACGAGAGGACCGGAGUGGACGCAUCACUGGUGUUCGGGUUGUCAUGCCAAUGGCACUGCCCGGUAGCUAAAUGCGGAAAAGAUAAGUGCUGAAAGCAUCUAAGCACGAAACUUGCCCCGAGAUGAGUCUUCCCUGAGACUUUGAGUCUCCUGAAGGAACGUUAAAGACGAUGACGUUGAUAGGCCGGGUGUGUAAGCGCAGCGAUGCGUUGAGCUAACCGGUACUAAUGAACCGUGAGGCUUAACCUUACAACGCCGAAGCUGUU